AUACGGAAGGUCCGGGCGUUAUCCGGAUUUAUUGGGUUUAAAGGGAGCGCAGGCCGGAAGCAAAGCGUGCCGUGAAAUGUAGAUGCUCAACAUCUGAAUUGCGGCGCGAACUGGUUUUCUUGAGUGCAUACGAGGUAGGCGGAAUUUGUGGUGUAGCGGUGAAAUGCUUAGAUAUCACGAAGAACUCCGAUUGCGAAGGCAGCCUACCAGGAUGUAACUGACGCUAAAGCUCGAAAGUGCGGGUAUCGAACAGGAUUAGAUACCCUGGUAGUCCGCACGGUAAACGAUGGAUGCCCGCUGUUGGCGAUAUACAGUCAGCGGCCAAGCGAAAGCGUUAAGCAUCCCACCUGGGGAGUACGCCGGCAACGGUGAA
This 373-nucleotide ribosomal RNA is filed under the name uncultured bacterium. RNAcentral describes it as "bacterial SSU rRNA". It matches the Rfam family "Bacterial small subunit ribosomal RNA", at positions 523 to 898 of the family's 1533-position model. The record is from RNAcentral.